This 439-nucleotide ribosomal RNA is filed under the name uncultured bacterium. Its description in RNAcentral is "bacterial SSU rRNA". It matches the Rfam family "Bacterial small subunit ribosomal RNA", at positions 954 to 1392 of the family's 1533-position model. The record is from RNAcentral.
GCAAAACGCGAAGAACCUUACCUACUCUUGACAUCUACAGAAGAACGCAGAGAUGUGUUUGUGCCUUCGGGAACUGUAAGACAGGUGCUGCAUGGCUGUCGUCAGCUCGUGUUGUGAAAUGUUGGGUUAAGUCCCGCAACGAGCGCAACCCUUAUCCUUAGUUGCCAGCACGUUUGGGUGGGAACUCUAGGGAGACUGCCGGUGAUAAACCGGAGGAAGGUGGGACGACGUCAAGUCAUCAUGGCCCUUACGAGUAGGGCUACACACGUGCUACAAUGGUAUGUACAGAGGGAGGCAAGCUGGCGACAGUGAGCGGAUCUUUUAAAGUCAUAUCGUAGUCCGGAUUGGAGUCUGCAACUCGACUCCAUGAAGUCGGAAUCGCUAGUAAUCGCAAAUCAGAAUGUUGCGGUGAAUACGUUCCCGGGUCUUGUACACACCG